Molecule: ribosomal RNA, 492 nt
Filed under: uncultured bacterium
Lineage: Bacteria
Description: partial 16S ribosomal RNA
Rfam family: Bacterial small subunit ribosomal RNA
Source: RNAcentral
AGUGAACGCUGGCGGUAGGCCUAACACAUGCCAGUCGAACGGCAGCACAGUAAGAGCUUGCUCUUACGGGUGGCGAGUGGCGGACGGGUGAGGAAUACAUCGGAAUCUACUUUUUCGUGGGGGAUAACGUAGGGAAACUUACGCUAAUACCGCAUACGACCUACGGGUGAAAGCAGGGGAUCUUCGGACCUUGCGCGAUUGAAUGAGCCGAUGUCGGAUUAGCUAGUUGGCGGGGUAAAGGCCCACCAAGGCGACGAUCCGUAGCUGGUCUGAGAGGAUGAUCAGCCAAACUGGAACUGAGACACGGUCCAGACUCCUACGGGAGGAAGCAGUGGGGAAUAUUGGACAAUGGGCGCAAGCCUGAUCCAGCCAUACCGCGUGGGUGAAGAAGGCCUUCGGGUUGUAAAGCCCUUUUGUUGGGAAAGAAAAGCAGCAGGUUAAUACCCCGCUGUUCUGACGGUACCCAAAGAAUAAGCACCGGCUAACUUCGUG